RNAcentral lists this ribosomal RNA (702 nucleotides) under Candidatus Woesebacteria bacterium RIFOXYD1_FULL_31_53. RNAcentral describes it as "bacterial SSU rRNA". It matches the Rfam family "Bacterial small subunit ribosomal RNA", at positions 779 to 1232 of the family's 1533-position model. The record is from RNAcentral. Lineage: Bacteria; Candidatus Woeseibacteriota.
UAGAGACCCCUGUAGUCCUAGCCGUAAACUUUGCCUGCUAGCGAUCCGACUUUGGUCGGGUUGCGUAAGCUAACGCGUUAAGCGGGCCGCCUGGGGAGUACGAACGCAAGUUUAAAACUCAAAGGAAUUGACGGGAAGGCGCACAACCAGUGGAGCAUGUGGUUUAAUUCGAAACGAAACGAAGAACCUUACCCAGUCUUGACAUAUUACCGUUUUAGAUUGCCAGAAAUGGCGAUCGAUCCUUAAGUAAUUUUGGAUGGUAUUACAGGUGUUGCAUGGCCGUCGUCAGCUCGUGUCGUAGGUUAACACUUUGCGACCCUUCGAAGCAAUUCGGAGUGCGAAAUCUGGCUCAUAUCGGUGGAACUUCUUAUUUUUAAUAAGAACAAUACCGAGGGAAGUCGACUUAAAUUUUAAGUUUGACCCCGUAACGACUGAUUUUGGUAUUUUUAAAUAUCAAAUGAUAUACAAGAUAAUACGCUUGUAUAACACGCCAGCUCCCGAUUUAAUCGGGAUGAAGGUAUAGUCUAAUUACAGUUACCUUUUAAAGUAAUUGGAGGUGUUCCCUUCAGUGGGGUAACGAGCGCAACCCCUGCCCUGAGUUAAAUAAUCUCAGGGGACUUCCCUCAUUUAUUGCGGGAGGAAGUGGGGACGACGUCAGGUCAGCAUGGCCCUUAUGACUGGGGCAACACACAUACUACAAUG